CCAAUAGCGUAUAUUAAAGUUGCUGCAGUUAAAAAGCUCGUAGUUGAAUUUCAGGAUCAUUAUGUCGGUCGUGCCUCGGUACGUACUGGCAUCGUUGAUUUCUCCCUUCUGACGAACCAUGAUGUCAUUUAUUUGGUGUUGUGGGGAAUCAGGACUGUUACUUUGAAAAAAUUAGAGUGUUUAAAGCAGGUUCACGCUUGAAUACAUUAGCAUGGAAUAAUGAAAUAGGACGUUUGAUUCUAUUUUGUUGGUUUCUAGGAUCGACGUAAUGAUUAAUAGGGAUAGUUGGGGGCAUUAGUAUUCAAUUGUCAGAGGUGAAAUUCUUGGAUUUAUUGAAGACUAACUACUGCGAAAGCAUUUGCCAAGGAUGUUUUCAUUAAUCAAGAACGAAAGUUAGGAAAUCGAAGACGAUCAGAUACCGUCGUAGUCUUAACCAUAAACUAUGCCGAUUAGGGAUCGGAUGAUGUUAAUUUUUUAAUGACUCAUUCGGCGCCUUACG
RNAcentral lists this ribosomal RNA (499 nucleotides) under uncultured Glomus. RNAcentral describes it as "SSU rRNA". It matches the Rfam family "Eukaryotic small subunit ribosomal RNA", at positions 591 to 1092 of the family's 1831-position model. Lineage: Eukaryota; Fungi; Glomeromycota; Glomeromycetes; Glomerales; Glomeraceae. The record is from RNAcentral.